Molecule: long non-coding RNA, 553 nt
Organism: Ictalurus punctatus (channel catfish)
Lineage: Eukaryota; Metazoa; Chordata; Actinopteri; Siluriformes; Ictaluridae
Source: Ensembl
CGUUCUUCCGCCUAUCCUUGAGACCUAUUAUCAACAAUGUCAGGUGACUGACCUUAGGGGUUGGCUAUUAUAGAACAUCCGGAACCAACCACUUCCUUUUGCCUUUCUCACCUCAUCUGAGGCCAAAGCGGUAGAGCUCAUCUCAGCUUAAUUACGGGAGACAGUGUAGUUCCAAUUCGUCACAUUUUCGUGAAGGUGCUUCACGUUCCUGAAGAUUGCGGUGGAUCUCUCCUCAUAUAUAUCUUGGAGUGUCGUUGGAACACACGUUGCGUUAGCGUGAGCUGAGAUCGGUCGGAUGACGAGGCUCAGGUAUAAACACCGUACCUCUGGAUGAACCCAUGGACCCGCAAGCUGAGGUCUCGCCCUUUACAACUCUCUCCUCUCCUCUAUCAUUUUUAAAAACAAAUCUCUUACUCUUUGUUUGUUUGUAUCGUUGGGGGGUCAUUAAAGGACUAAACAUUGGCCAGAUCACAAAGAGAGGGGUGGUUAAUAUGUUUCAGCGGCUCCAUUAGUCAAAGUGUGUGUGGGGGUAUGCAGUGUGUGUGUGUGUGUG